RNAcentral lists this long non-coding RNA (363 nucleotides) under Bos taurus (domestic cattle). RNAcentral's name for it is "long non-coding RNA NONBTAT006677". Lineage: Eukaryota; Metazoa; Chordata; Mammalia; Artiodactyla; Bovidae. The record is from RNAcentral.
AAAAAAAAAAAGACCUUUAGAUGAUUUCCACAGCAACACUUAGCACUCUUUGGUCCAAAUGAGAGGUAAGUGCUGUGUUUGCCAAGCCGGGGGCUGUGGGGCUCCCCUCGGGCUGCUACACCUGUAGGUGCACUCCGUCAGUGUCACUCAGAGAUUUGGGGAAAUAGCGUUUUUACACUAAAACACCAGCAUAUUUUGGAAUAAAUUCUUACACAGUUUAAAACAGGAGUUUUUAAGACUGGACAUUCCUGCUUCCAUAUUUGGGUCUUCUCUCAACUACUCCUCUUCUGCCCUGCUGAGGAGGAGGCACUUUCAGAUGUAUUAUGUUAAUGGAGAGAAAAAGCAUAAUAUUGUAAAGACAGC